UGGCAGCCUUGAAAUAUGCUAAUGAAUGGCUUCUACAUAAGAGAAGAAUGAUCUACUUGCACAACAGAAUGCGUGAAAAUUAAGUUAGAUUUAAUAGAUCUUAGAACAAAAAUAGAAUAAAACACAAACAACCUGGUCCAAUGUCUGGUAGUUAUCAUCCGUAAGGUCUCCAUGAAUUUGUACCACUUGACCUGCUAGUUCGAGACCUCCUUCUGCUACAACCCUUUGAGGAGAUGCAGAGGGCUACCGAUUUGGGGAAAUUAGGGGGAAAAUUAAGGGAAUCGGGGUAGGGGAGAAAUGCUUUGGGAAAAAUAA
Molecule: long non-coding RNA, 315 nt
Filed under: Gossypium raimondii (Peruvian cotton)
Lineage: Eukaryota; Viridiplantae; Streptophyta; Magnoliopsida; Malvales; Malvaceae
Description: long non-coding RNA (GRAI_LNC011291)
Source: RNAcentral